AGUGAACGCUGGCGGUAUGCUUAACACAUGCAAGUCGAACGGCAGCACAGUAAGAGCGUGCGCUUACGGGUGGGGAGUGGGGGACGGGUCAGGAGUACAUCCGAAUCUACUUUUUCGUGGGGGAUAACGUAGGGAAACUUACGCCAAUAUAGCAGACGACCUACGGGUGAAAGCAUGGGAUCUUUGGAGCUGGCGCGGUUGGAUGAGCGGAUGUUGGGUUAGCUAGUUGGGGGGGUAAAGGCCCACCAAGGCGACGAUCGGUAGCUGGUCUGAGAGGAUGAUCGGCCACACUGGAACUGGGACACGGUCCAGACUCCUACGAGAGGCAGCAGUGGGGAAUGUUGGACAAUGGGCGCAAGCCUGAUCCAGCCAUACCGCGUGGGUGAAGAAGGCCUUCGGGUUGUAAAGCCCUUUUGUUGGGAAAGAAAAGCAGCAGGUUAAUACCCCGCGGUUCUGACGGUACCGAAAGAAUAAGCACCGGCUAACUACGUG
RNAcentral lists this ribosomal RNA (492 nucleotides) under uncultured bacterium. RNAcentral's name for it is "partial 16S ribosomal RNA". It matches the Rfam family "Bacterial small subunit ribosomal RNA", at positions 29 to 507 of the family's 1533-position model. The record is from RNAcentral.